ACUCUCGGCCCUCUUCAGCCACUCCCUCCCCAACCCACACGCCAUCAACCUCCAGACCCUCUCGCCGUGGCUUAGAGGUGUCUCUGACAACGUGGCACACUGGGAAGGCCUUCUUUCCUGCUACCAAUACAAAUGCAUUCUGAAUUUGAUAUGUCAUUAAAUGUAAAAAUACAGCCAAUUUGAAACAAGCAAAUGGAAAUUCCCAGGAACCAAAAACAGAAAGAAAAAUCAGAGCUACCGCAGUGCUGUCCCUGCAGACAGAAUUUGGGAGAGGUACUCAGAGUCACCUCCUGUGAGCCUAUGCAAGCCAGCUCCUGCACAACCCUGGUUUUAGUCCAGGUUGUCUUGUGGUAGAGGAGAUUUUGCCUUGCAAUUUUACAUACUUAUGCUACGUGGAAGGCUGGGUGGCGUGACUUCAGAAAAAUGUUUCCUCAGGAAAGAGACACACAGAGAGAGAGAGAAAGAGAGAAAGAGAGAACCCACCUACCUGUUUUGCAAAAGUCUCAUGAAUCAUCCCUUCCUGUGGUCCUGCUCCCUGAGAUCCUUUCACCGCUCACAGUGGGCUACUUCUAAGAGCGUGCCUGGCACAGGGUCACUGAGAGCAUAGUCUUAAUAAAACAAUGAUGGAUGCUUGUCUCUCUCA
This 643-nucleotide long non-coding RNA is filed under the name Homo sapiens (human). RNAcentral's name for it is "HSALNT0380265". The record is from RNAcentral. Lineage: Eukaryota; Metazoa; Chordata; Mammalia; Primates; Hominidae.